CCUACGGGAGGCAGCAGUGAGGAAUAUUGGUCAAUGGUCGUAAGCCUGAACCAGCCAAGUAGCGUGCAGGAUGACGGCCCUAUGGGUUGUAAACUGCUUUUACGCGGGGAUAACAUGCGUCACGUGUGAAGUUUUGUAGGUACCGUAUGAAUAAGGGCCGGCUAAUUCCGUGCCAGCAGCCGCGGUAAUACGGAAGGUCCGGGCGUUAUCCGGAUUUACUGGGCGUAAAGGGAGCGUAGGCGGCAUGUUAAGCGUACCGUGAAAUGCCGUGGCUCAACCUGGGCACUGCGUCGCAAACUGGCUGGCUUGAGUGCGCGGAAGGAAUGCGGAAUUCGUGGUGUAGCGGUGAAAUGCUUAGAUAGCACGAGGAACUCCGAUUGCGAAGGCAGCAUGCUGGAGCGCUACUGACGCUGAGGCUCGAAGGCGCGGGUAUCGAACAGGAUUAGAUACCCGAGUAGUC
Molecule: ribosomal RNA, 460 nt
Filed under: uncultured bacterium
Lineage: Bacteria
Description: partial 16S ribosomal RNA
Rfam family: Bacterial small subunit ribosomal RNA
Source: RNAcentral